Molecule: ribosomal RNA, 841 nt
Filed under: Tetragonocephalum sp. n. 2 AW-2016
Lineage: Eukaryota; Metazoa; Platyhelminthes; Cestoda; Lecanicephalidea; Tetragonocephalidae
Description: partial 16S ribosomal RNA
Rfam family: Archaeal large subunit ribosomal RNA (bases 587-841)
Source: RNAcentral
UUUUAACCGAAAACACCAGAUUUUAAGUUUAAUUAAUAACCUCUUGCUAUUAGGGUUUAUAUUAGGAUCAGGUAGAUUAUUAUAAAAUUAAUUUAGGUUGUGAUAAAUAAUUCGGUGGUGUUUAUAUCUGUUUAAUAGUUGUAUACAUUAUAUGUAAGUUUUUGGCUAUGAUGUCAAAGAUUAAUAAAUAUCUUAUUUAGUUCAGUGUUUAAUAUAAAGGUUAAAAUUACCUAUUUGUUAAAUGUGUGUUAUAAUCUUAAUUAUUUCUUAAUUAGAUUUUUUUUAUUAACUAUUUAUGAUAUAAAUUUAUUGAUGUUUUAUAUAAUUAAAUAAGUAAUAUUAAUAUAUAGUUUGUUUCUCAUUAGCUUUCCGUCUGUUUAUUAAAAACAUUUCUGCUUAAAAUUAUAAGCAGUAGAACCUGCCCUAUGCUUUUGUAAAUGGCCGCAGUAUAUUGACUGUGCGAAGGUAGCAUAAUUAAUUGCCUUAUAAUUGAAGGCUUGUUUGAAUGGUUUGACGAGAUAGUAUUUAACAUCCUUUAUAUAUUUGAAUUUAAUAAUAGGGGCACAGAAUCCCUUAUGAUUAAACAGACGGAAAGACCCCGGGAUCUUUAGUUUUUGUCUGGGGCAGAUCAUAAUAGUUUAUUUAUGAGUUAGACCCUAACACAGGUUUAUUGGAGUAAGUUACCCCGGGGAUAACAGUGUAAUAGUGAAUUAGAGACCUUAUCGAAUUUACUGAUUGCUACCUCGAUGUUGACUUAGGUUAAAACUUAUGCGCAGCAGUUUAAGUUUUUGGUCUGUUCGACCAUAUCAUACCUCCAUGAGUUGAGUUAAGACCGGCGUAA